UUCACCACACACUGAAACGAAUAACUUCCACCAAUUUGAAUCGAUUUUGGCCGCUUAAACCUAAACUCAACUUUGUCUGCACCAAUAUCUCUAACAAAUUUCGGCGCCAAAUCAGCCGGUUUAGGGUUUAAGGACCUGUGUAUCUUCGGGGAUUUUAUUGAUGCAUUCUUUGAUAGAUAAAACAGUAUCAUCAACGGUUUUAGUGGUUAAUGAUGAGUAAUCGAGUUGGACUUCUUUCAAUAGCUCAGCUACCUUUAAGUUGAGGGUGUCUGUGUACUCCUCGACGGCAGCCAUGGUGGUGGAGCCAAGGAACGUUGGACCGGCGGCUGUGGCAAAGAUGAAAGAACAGUAA
RNAcentral lists this long non-coding RNA (352 nucleotides) under Helianthus annuus (common sunflower). RNAcentral's name for it is "hypothetical non coding rna". The record is from RNAcentral. Lineage: Eukaryota; Viridiplantae; Streptophyta; Magnoliopsida; Asterales; Asteraceae.